UUGCGUUUUAAUAAAAAAAAGAAUGAGAGCUAAUAGUUUUACCAUUAUGCCCUUAGAAAUGAUGAUGUCAUAUUGGUUUUAAUUUUAUUUUAUUAAGGUAACGGGAUUUUAAAUUUUAUGAUAUUUGGGACUUUUUUGUCAAAAAAAAAAAAAAAAAAAAAAAAAAAAAACAAAAUCUUCCUUCACUUCUCAUGUUUGGUAUGUUAA
RNAcentral lists this long non-coding RNA (207 nucleotides) under Helianthus annuus (common sunflower). RNAcentral's name for it is "hypothetical non coding rna". Lineage: Eukaryota; Viridiplantae; Streptophyta; Magnoliopsida; Asterales; Asteraceae. The record is from RNAcentral.